AGAGUUUGAUCAUGGCUCAGAACGAACGCUGGCGGCGUGCUUAAUACAUGCAAGUCGAACGAUGAGGUUCUUCGGGACCAUCAGUGGCGCACGGGUGAGUAACACGUAAGUAACCUGUCCGAGGGACUGGGAUAACACCUCGAAAGGGGUGCUAAUACCGGAUGAAGUCUGUAGCCUGCAUGGGUUGCGGAUGAAAGGGGGCCUCUCGACGAAGCUUCCGUCCACGGAGGGGCUUGCGGCCCAUUAGCUAGUUGGUGUGGUAACGGCGCACCAAGGCUGAGAUGGGUAGCCGACCUGAGAGGGUGAACGGCCACACUGGCACUGAGAUACGGGCCAGACUCCUACGGGAGGCAGCAGUAGGGAAUAUUGGGCAAUGGGCGAAAGCCUGACCCAGCAACGCCGCGUGGGUGAUGACGCUUUUCGGAGUGUAAAGCCCUUUUGUAUGGGAAGAAGUAUCAUGGGGAUAACACACCCAUGGUUUGACGGUACCGUAUGAAUAAGCCCCGGCUAACUCCGUGCCAGCAGCCGCGGUAAUACGGGGGGGGCAAGCGUUGUUCGGAAUUACUGGGCGUAAAGGGCGCGUAGGCGGCCCUGCAAGUCGAGUGUGGAAUCCCACGGCUCAACCGUGGAAUGGCGUUCGAGACUGCGGAGCUUGAGUGCGGGAGAGGAGAGUGGAAUUCCCAGUGUAGCGGUGAAAUGCGUAGAUAUUGGGAGGAACACCGGUGGCGAAGGCGACUCUCUGGAACGUAACUGACGCUGAUGCGCGAAAGCGUGGGGACAAACAGGAUUAGAUACCCUAGUAGUCC
This 806-nucleotide ribosomal RNA is filed under the name uncultured bacterium. Its description in RNAcentral is "bacterial SSU rRNA". It matches the Rfam family "Bacterial small subunit ribosomal RNA", at positions 8 to 796 of the family's 1533-position model. The record is from RNAcentral.